Molecule: unclassified non-coding RNA, 238 nt
Filed under: soil metagenome
Description: partial contains 5.8S ribosomal RNA, internal transcribed spacer 2, and large subunit ribosomal RNA
Rfam family: 5.8S ribosomal RNA (bases 1-115)
Source: RNAcentral
GAUGAAGAACGUAGCGAAACGCGAUAUUUCUUGUGAAUUGCAGAAGUGAAUCAUCAGUUUUUGAACGCACAUUGCACUUUGGGGUAUCCCCCAAAGUAUACUUGUUUGAGCGUUGUUUCUCUCUUGGAAUUGCUUUGCUCUUCUAAAAUUUCGAAUCAAAUUCGUUUGAAAAACAACACUAUUCAACCUCAGAUCAAGUAGGAUUACCCGCUGAACUUAAGCAUAUCUAAGCGGAGGA